GCCGUUAACGAACGAGACCUCGACCUGCUAAAUAGUUUGGCGAAUUCUCCGGGAUUCGUUUACAACUUCUUAGAGGGACUAUUGGUGAUUUAGCCAAUGGAAGUUCGAGGCAAUAACAGGUCUGUGAUGCCCUUAGAUGUCCUGGGCCGCACGCGCGCUACACUGAUACGUUCAUCGAGCUUACAACCUUGGCUGAGAGGCCUGGGUAAUCUUUUUAAACCGUAUCGUGCUGGGGAUAGAUUAUUGUAAUUUUUAAUCUUCAACGAGGAAUUCCUAGUAAACGCUGGUCAUCAACCAGCAUUGAUUACGUCCCUGCCCUUUGUACACACCGCCCGUCGCUAAUACCGAUUGAAUGGAUGU
RNAcentral lists this ribosomal RNA (360 nucleotides) under Eukaryota sp. Its description in RNAcentral is "SSU rRNA". It matches the Rfam family "Eukaryotic small subunit ribosomal RNA", at positions 1324 to 1700 of the family's 1831-position model. The record is from RNAcentral.